AGAGUUUGAUCCUGGCUCAGAACGAACGCUGGCGGCGUGGAUAAGACAUGCAAGUCGAACGAGAGAAUUGCUAGCUUGCUAAUAAUUCUCUAGUGGCGCACGGGUGAGUAACACGUGAGUAACCUGCCCCCGAGAGCGGGAUAGCCCUGGGAAACUGGGAUUAAUACCGCAUAGUAUCGAAAGAUUAAAGCAGCAAUGCGCUUGGGGAUGGGCUCGCGGCCUAUUAGUUAGUUGGUGAGGUAACGGCUCACCAAGGCGAUGACGGGUAGCCGGUCUGAGAGGAUGUCCGGCCACACUGGAACUGAGACACGGUCCAGACACCUACGGGUGGCAGCAGUCGAGAAUCAUUCACAAUGGGGGAAACCCUGAUGGUGCGACGCCGCGUGGGGGAAUGAAGGUCUUCGGAUUGUAAACCCCUGUCAUGUGGGAGCAAAUUAAAAAGAUAGUACCACAAGAGGAAGAGACGGCUAACUCUGUGCCAGCAGCCGCGGUAAUACAGAGGUCUCAAGCGUUGUUCGGAAUCACUGGGCGUAAAGCGUGCGUAGGCUGUUUCGUAAGUCGUGUGUGAAAGGCGCGGGCUCAACCCGCGGACGGCACAUGAUACUGCGAGACUAGAGUAAUGGAGGGGGAACCGGAAUUCUCGGUGUAGCAGUGAAAUGCGUAGAUAUCGAGAGGAACACUCGUGGCGAAGGCGGGUUCCUGGACAUUAACUGACGCUGAGGCACGAAGGCCAGGGGAGCGAAAGGGAUUAGAUACCCCUGUAGUCCUGGCAGUAAACGGUGCACGCUUGGUGUGCGGGGAAUCGACCCCCUGCGUGCCGGAGCUAACGCGUUAAGCGUGCCGCCUGGGGAGUACGGUCGCAAGAUUAAAACUCAAAGAAAUUGACGGGGACCCGCACAAGCGGUGGAGUAUGUGGCUUAAUUCGAUGCAACGCGAAGAACCUUACCUGGGCUUGACAUGUAAUGAACAACAUGUGAAAGCAUGCGACUCUUCGGAGGCGUUACACAGGUGCUGCAUGGCCGUCGUCAGCUCGUGUCGUGAGAUGUUUGGUUAAGUCCAGCAACGAGCGCAACCCCUGUUGCCAGUUACCAGCACGUGAAGGUGGGGACUCUGGCGAGACUGCCCAGAUCAACUGGGAGGAAGGUGGGGACGACGUCAGGUCAGUAUGGCCCUUAUGCCCAGGGCUGCACACGUACUACAAUGCCCAGUACAGAGGGGGCCGAAGCCGCGAGGCGGAGGAAAUCCUAAAAACUGGCCCAGUUCGGACUGUAGGCUGCAACCCGCCUACACGAAGCCGGAAUCGCUAGUAAUGGCGCAUCAGCUACGGCGCCGUGAAUACGUUCCCGGGUCUUGUACACACCGCCCGUCACAUCAUGGAAGCCGGUCGCACCCGAAGUAUCUGAAGCCAACCGCAAGGAGGCAGGGUCCUAAGGUGAGACUGGUAACUGGGAUGAAGUCGUAACAAGGUA
This 1469-nucleotide ribosomal RNA is filed under the name metagenome. RNAcentral describes it as "bacterial SSU rRNA". It matches the Rfam family "Bacterial small subunit ribosomal RNA". The record is from RNAcentral.